CGACUUCUUGAUAGUGAUGCAACUAUUGGAUCAAGACAUAUAAAUAUGCGAAAAUAAAGCGUGUAAUAUAUAUUUAUAUAAAGUACAUGUCACUGAGUGAAACAAAUGAAAACAAUAAAACCUGCAAACAUCCACACGGGGAACAGAACCCACAGCUGUGAGUUUAUAGUAUGAAACGUUGCUCUGCCUCGCUCAUCUGCCGCCUCGCUCAUCUGCCUCCUCGCUCAUCUGCCCUCGCUCAUCUGCCGCCUCGCUCAUCUGCCGCCUCGCUCAUCUGUCGCAUCGCUCAGCUGCCGCCUCGCUCAGCUGCCGCCUCGCUCAUCUGCCUCCUCGCUCAGCUGCCGCCUCUCUCAUCUGCCUCCUCGCUCAUCUGCCGUCUCGCUCAUCUGCCUCCUCGCUCAUCUGCCGCCUCGCUCAUCUGCCGUCUCGCUCAUCUGCCGCCUCGCUCAUCUGCCGCCUCGCUCAGCUGCCUCCUCGCUCAUCUGCCGCCUCCUCGCUCAUCUGCCUCCUCGCUCAGCUGCCUCCUCGCUCAUCUGCCGCCUCGCUCAUCUGCUGCCUCGCUCAUCUGCCGUCUCGCUCAGCUGCCUCCUCGCUCAGCUGCCUCCUCGCUCAUCUGCCGCCUCGCUCAUCUGCUGCCUCCUCGCUCAUCUGCCUCCUCGCUCAGCUGCCUCCUCGCUCAUCUGCCGUCUCGCUCAUCUGCCGCCUCGCUCAUCUGCCGUCUCGCUCAGCUGCCUCCUCGCUCAUCUGCCGCCUCGCUCAUCUGCCUCCUCGCUCGGCUGCCUCCUCGCUCAUCUGCCGCCUCCUCGCUCAUCUGCCGCCUCCUCGCUCAUCUGCCGCCUCCUCGCUCAUCUGCCUCCUCCUCGCUCAGCUGCCUCCUCACUCAUCUGCCGCCUCGCUCGGCUGCCUCCUCGCUCAUCUGUCGCCUCCUCGCUCAGCUGCCUCCUCGCCCAUCUGCCGCCUCGCUUAGCCGCCUCCUCGCCCAUCUGCCUCCUCGCCCAUCUGCCGC
RNAcentral lists this long non-coding RNA (1006 nucleotides) under Cottoperca gobio. Its description in RNAcentral is "lncRNA (ENSCGOG00000015505.1)". The record is from RNAcentral. Lineage: Eukaryota; Metazoa; Chordata; Actinopteri; Perciformes; Bovichtidae.